AUAUUCCUCAAUGGGCGAAAGCCUGACGGAGCGACGCCGCGUGAGCGAUGAAGGUAUUCGGAUAGUAAAGCUCUGUUGUUAGGAAAGCACAAGUACCGGAUUAACUGCCGGUACCUUGACGGUACCUAACCAGAAAGCCCCGGCUCACUACGUGCCUGCAGCCGCGGUAAUACGUAGGGGCCGAGCGUUGUCCGGAAUUAUUGGGCGUAAAGGGCGCGUAGGCGGUCUCUUAAGUCUGAUGUGAAAGCCCCCGGCUUAACCGGGGAGGGUCAUUGGAAACUGGGAGACUUGAGUGCAGGAGAGGGAAGCGGAAUUCCAUGUGUAGCGGUGAAAUGCGUAGAGAUAUGGAGGAACACCAGUGGCGAAGGCGGCUUCCUGGCCUGUAACUGACGCUGAGGCGCGAAAGCGUGGGGAUCAAACA
This 421-nucleotide ribosomal RNA is filed under the name uncultured bacterium. RNAcentral describes it as "partial 16S ribosomal RNA". It matches the Rfam family "Bacterial small subunit ribosomal RNA", at positions 361 to 774 of the family's 1533-position model. The record is from RNAcentral.